GCCAUCAUAGUCUAGCGGUUAGGACGUCGGCCUCUCACGCCGAAAACCGGGGUUCGAGUCCCCGUGGUGGUGCCA
Molecule: transfer RNA, 75 nt
Filed under: Clostridiales bacterium
Lineage: Bacteria; Bacillati; Bacillota; Clostridia; Eubacteriales
Also listed under: 1 other name
Description: tRNA-Glu
Rfam family: tRNA
About the family: Transfer RNA (tRNA) molecules are approximately 80 nucleotides in length.
Source: RNAcentral